GCGAGGAAGCCAAUGGCAUAGGGAUACUGGACAGUUCCUGCGUGCCUUUCUCCACGCACAAAGCCGACAUCCAACUUUGCUCACUUAGUUGGCUCCCGCCCAGCCGGCCCCCGAAGCACAGUCACGGUGAAAACAUUUUGAUACCAGAAAAUCAUUUCCACGGAAGUGCAAGUGUUCGAAAGCACAAAGGCAGAUACCAUCGACCCGCGCUAGCUAGCAAGUUGCGGUACUCGGGGCGGCGGCGCGGAGCACGCGUCCAGAUGAUCACCAAAAAAUACUCUUGUCAUCAAGGCCUUAUAGGUAUCUGUGGGGUUUUGUCCACCUGGUACAGAGUUGGCAAGUUAAAGAAGCAAAGGAAACCACACAGUGGGAAAGUUCUCUGGAGCACACAAUUCCAUAAACAUCGACAUUUCGAGGAUAUGAAGAUUCUGCUGCUCCGUUCUGAGCAAAGAGUUUAACAAGUCAAAUACAAAUCUCAGGGGACUUCAUAAGCCUCGUGAUGGUGCUGUGAGUAGCAUCCCAUUAUUGAUUGCAAAUACUGCAUUGGAAUGCCUCGGAAGAGCCCCAAACCAAAACUUUCAGAUGCCUGAAGCUCUGAGCUUUCCAGUUAGGCUGAAAGUUUCCCUUGAUAACCAGUAGUGCUGAAGCUUUUAAUAUUGUGUUGGUCUAUCCGUUCUCAGCAACGUUUUCUAGUUAUGAAGGCCAGCGGAUCACUUGAUGUCAGCGAGGUAGCUCAUCCGACCCACUUGCAUGCUUUCUGAUCAAAUAUGCUACCUGAAAAAAAAAAAUCUUCAGCGUCACAUAAACUGAUCAUGCAAAUUCAUCAAGGAAGGUGGCAUUUCUGGGAUAAAGGAAGAAGUAUAUGUUCUUGAAAGUCAGCAAUUUGGGUGGCUUUAUGUCUACAACUUGGAAGACAUUUGCAGAACAUUUGGUAAUUAAAUAUGCCCUCAGCUGAGAAAUAAUGCUCUGGGUUGUCUUGCAGGUAAGUAGAAGGUAAGUGUUCUCUCUUACCUGGGUUUUAAGAGUUCUUGGAAUCCCAUGGGUAUUCCAGGUGUAUACAAUCUAUACAAUAAUAUGAGUAAAUGUCCUGGCUAAGAAACAGGCAGAAUUCAUCUUCCUAGAGUCACAACAACUGAGUCUUUCUUGAGAUUCAGGGUUCAGCUCAAUAUCUUCCCCUCCCCCCCGGAGCCUUCUUAUCCACAUUAGCCCACUUUGUGUCAUCACCUUCCUUUAUUUUUAUUUCGCCAAUCAUUGUCUGAAAUGAUUGUCUUCAUUUGUUUUCUGGUUUGUGGAUGUCUCUGCCUGGUAGAAAAUCGCUCAUUGAGAGCGGGAUGUUGUUAUCUGUCUCCUUCACCACUGAUUCCCCAGCUCCUAGAAGCAGUCCCUGGUACGUUGCAGGUCUUCAAUAAGUAAGGAAUGAAUGAAUGAAAGAAUGAAUGAAAGGAGAAUUCUGACUACAGUAUAGUUCCAAAGAGAGUUAUAGAACAUUGGAUGGUUCAGAAGCUGGGUAUGAGAUAUGGCUGUAUAUGAUGUCUAAAAUGUAGUCUAAUGAGGUCAGGGGUUUUCUUUUUCUUUGUUUUUUGGCCGUGCCCUGCAGCUUGUGGAAUCUUAGUUCCCCAACCAGGGAUUGAAUCCGGGCCACCAUAGUGAAAGAACAGAGUCCUAACCACUGGACCGCCAGGGAACUCCUAGGAAUUUUCUUUAUACUUGAAAAGAAUCCCUACAACACCAGGCACAGCAUGUGAUAUUCCAUACCGUUGGAGGGACCAUCCUCUCCAGUGUGGAAAUUCCUUGAACAAAGCUUGCAAUUCCUUGGAUAAAGCCUUUGCCCUUGGACAAAGGAUAGGUGAGAGAAGGAAGAAUCUGGAACAAGGGAGAAGGGAGGAAGAAGGAUGGGGAUCACGAAUAUGGCCAAACUGGAUUCUCCUCUGUAACUGGGGAGGAAAGGCUUCCCUUAAGAAGCUUGCAUGUCAUAUUUAACUGGUUCCUUCCUAUAACAUCUUGACUUAAUAAAGAGACAGGCAAAAGGGAAAGAAAAGAAAAAUGAAAGAAAGAAUCCGCAGCAAGACAAUAAAAAGUUUCCCCCUCACACCCACCACCUUGGGAGUUUUGCCUUUGUGCCUCGUGGCUUAUCCCACUGAAACUCAUCAGUUUUUGCUUUUAUGCUGGAAACGCCCCAAAAAACAUUUGAAGCUUGCUAGCCACCCCUUGGGGUGAGAAGGUUUCACAACGUGUCUCCAGGGAAGCCCAGGGGGCCAGGGUAGGGGAAGAGGUGUCCUUCUCUCCCUCGUGGGGGAACAAAGGACAGAACCUCAAAGUUCUUGCCCCAGUGUGUGACCUUGGGGCCGAAGGCAAAACAUUUUGUCUCUGGGUCCUAAUGAUAUAAGCUCCCCCGGCUCUGCAACUGCGCUCUAUGAUGUGACCUGAAAGCUUUGAUGGAAUUACUAUUGCCUUCUCUUUCUCUGCCCAGCCAUUUAUUAUUCUGUAUAUUUUCAGGAGCUGUGGGAAACUUUCAUAACCAAGCCUAAGCCAGGCGAAAACUUGUCCUAUUUGGAAUUUGUAAUGAAGUCAAAACAUGGCCUGGAUUUUCUGAAAGGCUCCUUUGGCGGCCUGUGACAGCCCUAGGGCACAAUCAGACAGGGCUGGAGAGGGCCUGGGAGCAGAUUUUGUUACCAAGAAUAGGACAGAACAAUAUUUGCCUCCAAAACACUAGGGCUGCUAUUUACCUCUCAGCUGGAAGAAGGGAGAGAUAAAUGCAGAUUUCACAUAAAGUGCAAAUACCAAUUCUUUCAUUUCUAAUUUUCAGGAUUUUUUUUUUUCCCCUUAGCUCCCUCUAAACAAAAGGCUAGGGAGAAUUUUUAGCAUAUUUGAUUUCCUGACCUAAGGGAAGAAAUUCUUUAUUUCAGAACUUUUGACCCCCAAAGAGCUGUUACUUUGCCUGAAAGGCUGAAUAAAAAUUGUUAGACAUUUAAAGCA
Long non-coding RNA from Delphinapterus leucas (beluga whale), 2976 nucleotides. RefSeq lists it as uncharacterized. NCBI's taxonomy places the organism in Eukaryota, Metazoa, Chordata, Mammalia, Artiodactyla, Monodontidae. The record is from RefSeq and is a predicted model, not a curated record.